RNAcentral lists this small nucleolar RNA (186 nucleotides) under Henningerozyma blattae CBS 6284. RNAcentral describes it as "Tetrapisispora blattae CBS 6284 Small nucleolar RNA snR45". It matches the Rfam family "Small nucleolar RNA snR45". The record is from Rfam by way of RNAcentral. Lineage: Eukaryota; Fungi; Ascomycota; Saccharomycetes; Saccharomycetales; Saccharomycetaceae.
AUGACCUUCCAAGUUUUAUUAAGAAUACGAUGAUAUUAUUUGCGUAAUAAGCUAACAAUUCUUCUCGUGGGGUUUCGGCUCUGUGAGGUUUUAAUGGGGAAUGCGGUUCCCGCGCAGCCAACCAAUCUUGUUACAUUUUUUUUAAAAUGAUUUUUUGGGACGCUACAAUAUAAAAUUCUGAUUCUU